Molecule: microRNA precursor, 128 nt
Filed under: Myotis lucifugus (little brown bat)
Lineage: Eukaryota; Metazoa; Chordata; Mammalia; Chiroptera; Vespertilionidae
Description: miRNA (ENSMLUG00000023235.1)
Source: RNAcentral
GGCGCGGAGGGAAUAGGACAGGCUCCGUGGGAGGGAGCGCAGAGCGGAGCGGAGCGGCGCGCGGAGCGGGUGGUGUGCAGGCGCGGCGUCUCGCUUCAGGGGUGACUGACUAGCAGCAGCGGCCUGGC